ACAAGCAGCGGAGCGUGUGGUUUAAUUCGAUGCUACACGAAGAACCUUACCAGGGUUUGACAUGCAAGUGGUAGGAACCGAAAGGUGACCGACCCUUCGGGAGCUUGCACAGGUGCUGCAUGGCUGUCGUCAGCUCGUGUCGUGAGAUGUUCGGUUAAGUCCGCUAACGAGCGCAACCCUCGCUGUGUGUUAUAUGUGUCACACGGGACUGCCGGUCUUAAGCUGGAGGAAGGUGGGGAUGAUGUCAAGUCAGCAUGGCCUUUAUAUCCUGGGCUACACACACGCUACAAUGGCCAGCACAGUAGGUUGCUAAGCCGCGAGGUGGAGCCAAUCCAUAAAGCUGGUCUCAGUUCGGAUUGCAGACUGCAAUUCGCCUGCAUGAAGUCGGAAUCGCUAGUAAUCGCAGGUCAGCAUACUGCGGUGAAUACGUUCCCGGGCCUU
RNAcentral lists this ribosomal RNA (441 nucleotides) under uncultured Leptolinea sp. RNAcentral describes it as "bacterial SSU rRNA". It matches the Rfam family "Bacterial small subunit ribosomal RNA", at positions 925 to 1382 of the family's 1533-position model. Lineage: Bacteria; Bacillati; Chloroflexota; Anaerolineae; Anaerolineales; Anaerolineaceae. The record is from RNAcentral.